AGUACUGUGGCCGAGUGGUUAAGGCGUUGGACUUAUGUUCCAGUGGACAACAAUAGGCGUGGGUUCGAACCCCACUCGUACUA
Molecule: non-coding RNA, 83 nt
Organism: Liolophura sinensis
Lineage: Eukaryota; Metazoa; Mollusca; Polyplacophora; Chitonida; Chitonidae
Source: the annotation of a RefSeq genome assembly